RNAcentral lists this ribosomal RNA (465 nucleotides) under uncultured Klebsiella sp. RNAcentral's name for it is "bacterial SSU rRNA". It matches the Rfam family "Bacterial small subunit ribosomal RNA", at positions 338 to 795 of the family's 1533-position model. The record is from RNAcentral. Lineage: Bacteria; Pseudomonadati; Pseudomonadota; Gammaproteobacteria; Enterobacterales; Enterobacteriaceae.
CCUACGGGCGGCAGCAGUGGGGAAUAUUGCACAAUGGGCGCAAGCCUGAUGCAGCCAUGCCGCGUGUGUGAAGAAGGCCUUCGGGUUGUAAAGCACUUUCAGCGGGGAGGAAGGCGUUAAGGUUAAUAACCUUGUCGAUUGACGUUACCCGCAGAAGAAGCACCGGCUAACUCCGUGCCAGCAGCCGCGGUAAUACGGAGGGUGCAAGCGUUAAUCGGAAUUACUGGGCGUAAAGCGCACGCAGGCGGUCUGUCAAGUCGGAUGUGAAAUCCCCGGGCUCAACCUGGGAACUGCAUUCGAAACUGGCAGGCUAGAGUCUUGUAGAGGGGGGUAGGAUUCCAGGUGUAGCGGUGAAAUGCGUAGAGAUCUGGAGGAAUACCGGUGGCGAAGGCGGCCCCCUGGACAAAGACUGACGCUCAGGUGCGAAAGCGUGGGGAGCAAACAGGAUUAGAUACCCCUGUAGUC